AAACCAACUGGGAUUACCUUAGUAACGGCGAGUGAAGCGGUAAAAGCUCAAAUUUGAAAUCUGGUACUUUCAGUGCCCGAGUUGUAAUUUGUAGAAUUUGUCUUUGAUUAGGUCCUUGUCUAUGUUCCUUGGAACAGGACGUCAUAGAGGGUGAGAAUCCCGUUUGGCGAGGAUACCUUUUCUCUGUAAGACUUUUUCGAAGAGUCGAGUUGUUUGGGAAUGCAGCUCAAAGUGGGUGGUAAAUUCCAUCUAAAGCUAAAUAUUGGCGAGAGACCGAUAGCGAACAAGUACAGUGAUGGAAAGAUGAAAAGAACUUUGAAAAGAGAGUGAAAAAGUACGUGAAAUUGUUGAAAGGGAAGGGCAUUUGAUCAGACAUGGUGUUUUUGCAUGCACUCGCCUCUCGUGGGCUUGGGCCUCUCAAAAAUUUCACUGGGCCAACAUCAAUUCUGGCAGUAGGAUAAAUCAUUAAGAAUGUAGCUACCUCGGUAUGUUAUAGCUUAUUGGAAUACUGCU
This 513-nucleotide ribosomal RNA is filed under the name uncultured Hanseniaspora. Its description in RNAcentral is "eukaryotic LSU rRNA". It matches the Rfam family "Eukaryotic large subunit ribosomal RNA", at positions 62 to 574 of the family's 3401-position model. The record is from RNAcentral. Lineage: Eukaryota; Fungi; Ascomycota; Saccharomycetes; Saccharomycodales; Saccharomycodaceae.